AGCACUCCCGAGGAUUAACCCCCGUUGUUAUCUCUCGACAAGACGUUAGAGGACAAGCUUGUGGAAACCUAUUUUGGCAAACUUUGUGGAUUAGACUGAAUGAAGUCUUGAGUAUAAAUCCCCGUAGAUUGAAUUAGAUAGAUACUGUUCAUUUCGCUGCAUGGGUGUGCAGGAGGUUUAGAAGUGUGAUUACGCUGUCAGCCUGUCGCCUGCGAUCCACUCAGGCACCUUGAUCUAUAGUCCUAGUCGCUUGUCUUUGAUUUAACUCCUUUUUCGGCUCUUCUGAGGUGUUUCUGCUUACAUCAGGUAAUGACAAAAAAGCAGGCCGCAGAAAACAAAGGUAUGGAGAGCGAUGAUUCAGGCGAUGAUUCAGGUGAAGACAGACAUGGUGCAAAGAGCAAGAAAACAUUGGCCACAACAUUUCACACCAAAGGAUUGCUGGUGGCUUCUUUCAUAGUGUUUUGGUUGGUUUUCUUUAGUCUUCUUUUUCUUCAACUAUACAUGGCAUGCUUGUCAAGAAGAUCACAACAGAUCUUGAACCAGUUAGCAGCAUCGAAGAGGAAUAUACCCCAGAAUGUGUACGACUUGUACUUUGAUUAUUUGGAAUGGGGAGCAGAUAUGGAUCAAGUUGACCUUCGUGCCAACACGUCCAUUUUCGUUCAUUGAAUUUUUGUGGCCACAGAACUGUGAGCUUCUCUUUUUCAUGUUAUACAUCAUGAAAAAAGCUGAUCACAUGCUAUUUUUUAAAAAAUUCUUUUUAACAGGCGACCAGAAUUAUUAAGUCGUUAACAUAUGUUGAAAAACAACAUGCACAUUUUCUGUGAUUAAAAAUAGUUUCCCUUGUUCAGGAUGGGAAUUCUUAAUGUGCUGUCAUCAUAAAAACAGUUUGACUAGAUAGCCAUCAAAAUAUAGAAAAAUGGCUUUAAAAGCAUUCUCCAUAAUGAUGUCAUGAAUGAGUGAGUAUAACUAUGACUGCAAGGGUCAAAAUGUAUUUUUCUGUUAUGAAGCUUUUGUUGUUGUGUCCCCAUAUAUUUACAAACCCUUUUUUACUGGCUUAAAUGGAAUUACUCUAUUUUUUUUUAAAUCUUUGACCAAAAAACAUCAACAGUCUAAAUUUUGUCAACAUUAGAAAAGAUCUAAUACAAUGUUUAUUUCAGAAAGAGACUGCUGAUGGAAGGAAUGAGUAAAUUGCAAAAUGUUAUUUGAGAUUGCCUCAGUCAGCAUGCGUGUAUCAUGAUGGUUAUCAGUGAGGUCUCAGUCUCCAUGCGUCAUGAUGGUUUGCUUGAUCAUCAAUGUGGAGAAAAUCCUGUUAUUUUUCAUGACAAAUGGUUUAUAAUAUUUUAUAAUAAAUGGUUCAUGUUAAUAUUUGAUAACAAAUGGUUCAUGUUGAUAUUUGAUAAAUGGUUCGUGUUGAUAUUUGAUAAAUGGUUUGUGUUGAUAUUUGAUAACAAAUGGUUCAUGUUGAUAUUUGAUAACAAAUGGUUCAUGUUAAUAUUUGAUGAAUGGUUCAUGUUGAUAUUUGAUGAAUGGUUCAUGUUGAUAUUUGAUAACAAAUGGUUCAUGUUGAUGAGUACUGCUGAACUUUCUCAAUGUCUGCAUGAUAUGAGGAGCUGUCUUUUUUGAAGUUUGUGUGAUCACCUUGAAUCUUACACGCUAUUAUAGACUCAUGGCAAAUGCUAGGCAGUGCACCAGAAGAACUGUAUUCUUGGCCACAAGGCAUUAGCUGGCAUCAGCAUAUCUUAGUUUCCUUGGAAGUGUGUAAUGCUGUGUCCAUCAGCAACAUACUUCUUUUCCUGAUUAUCCUGGCAUUUGCUUGCUAAUUGUGAUUUAACCUGUGUGGUGCAGCAAACUUCACCCAGUCACCCCAGCUAUCAGGAUUCCAGGGUCAGGGAGAGAUGGGCACGCCCCUUACAAAUUGCUGGCCCCAAGAAGUGAGGUCCCUAACACCUUAGUCCCCAUUGAGAGGACAACCCUUUUAACCUCUUUAAGUCAUCUCCUGAGGUGCAGCAUCUCAGCAUACAGUUUUUACAGUUGAAUUUUAUCUCAUCAGUGUUGCUGUUAGUUACACCAUUUAAAAAAAAAAAAACUAGUUCUGCUAUAAUUAGUAUUUUUCUUUUUGAACAGUUGAUUCCUGUGCAUUAAAAAAUUCAUUAUUUUGAGGAUAUAUCGGGGAUUUUAUGACACUGUCUUGAUGCAGUAAAUGAUCUUGAAAGUGGCUUGUGCCAGAAAGGCCUGCUUCCUGACUGACAAAUAGUAAAAGCAAAUGUACAAGUCUAAACACUGCUACUGUUGUGCAAAUUAAAACAAUGGUCAUUACCACAUCAAAUGUAAAUUCUGAUGAAGCUCAGUGAGCUAUAUUUGAGCUAUUUAGCAGUGAAUCAAAGAUGUCGCAGCUUAUGACAUGCAUUUUAUAUACUUUGCAUUUCUUAUUUAUUGUGGAAAUUAGCAUAUUUUUGGGAUGUGCCUGUUAAGUUCUGCAGUGUUAUUCUUAUGAAAGCAAAGUAACUCAUGGUAUUAUGGUAUGUCAUUGCUAUUUUAUGAGUGUUACCUCAGCGCUCACCCUCAUUCCAUUUUGGAAGACCUGCUUGAGUGCUUAGCACUUUUUCAUUGUAAGAAAUAAUGUCUAUCUGUUUAAUUGGUUCCAAUCCUAACAAUAGCUUGUGUCAUUCAUAGUAUUUUAUAGUGUGGCAUAUAAGAUUGGUUUGUUUCAAGCUAUAUUUUUCAUUUAUCCACAGCAAUAAUAAUUUCAUCUCUUCUGUUAUUUGAGAUCUUUGCCUUGUUACCAUUUUUACCCUUUUCUACAUCAGCUGCUUUAAUGAUUUUUUUUUAAUCAUUGUCAAUAUCAUGGGCUUAACCAUGCCAUACUGAAGGGGUAAUUCUGGCACAUGAAUGCCAUACUCAUGCUUGGUAAUGUUCUGUUCCUUUUUUUAAUUCAGUUAUUUCUUACUGUUUACCUCUUUCCUUCCCUUUAGAAAGUUUCUUUGGUGCCAUGAUGACUGUAUACAUAUCAUAUAUAUAUGUAAACAGUCCAACAAGAUUGUGAACAUAGCAUCAAGACAGGUAAGCUUGAUGUCUCAUACAGGUUUUAGCACAAUAGUCAAUGCAGAGCAAAUGGUCAAGCGCCAAAGCAGAAUUCUCUUAGAAAUAUUGGUCAAGAACCAAAAUGUUCAAGCACAAAGCAAGUCUGAGUGCUGAGGUACCACCAUAUAGUUAGUUCUUUGCAUCACUUGUUUAAAAAAAAAACUUGUGAUUGUAAGCUGUGGCUCAUUUAUGAAAUCAAAUUAGUUUUAUAGGCAUAGUACUGAUGUUCCUAAAUCCUCUCUGUAUGCGUACAUUUGGGAGAUUCGUCCAGUUGUUGGAUGGAUUGGCAAGGUAAUUGGAAAUUCAUGUAUGUUUCAUUGUUCCUUAUGCUAAAUAAUGGCCAGGCUUAAAAAUUUCUCACAAUACAAUGGUUUAUUUGCUAUGUAAUGCUGAAUACUGUUGUGAUAACAGGCAGUGACCAAAGGUCACACAAGAACUAUAGUGUAAAUGGGCAACACUUAUUUCUGAUAUUUGAUUGUGUGUACACCUCUUGAUGUCAGACUUAUCUAAAUCCGCUUUGUUACAGAUGUUACAAGUUAUUGUAUACAUGUAUAUUAUAUAUACUGUAUACAUGUAUAUGGAUGCCUUUCUUGAUACUUGUAGGAAUCUAAUGAUCAUACACUUUUCUGUUAUUCACUAAAAGUGGAUGCAGAAGUAUGUGUAAGCAUGCAUAUGCAUAUGCUUACUGAAGUCUGUCAGUGCUAUUUAGAUAGUUUAUGCCUUAUAUGAUUUGGAGCAACAUUUCAAGAAAGUUAAGUUGGGUUCCAUAGCAAGAUACAUGGGCAUGCUCAGUGAUAAACCACAGAAAUGAUAUAAAGUCAUAAGAAGCUGGAAAGCUCUCUUUGCUGCAGAAGUGUUGUGGAGCUAAUAUUCAGUCUGAUAAGUACUUGUGAGCCAAACAAGAUCCCAGCUCAGGGGUGACUUGAACGCAUCCAAAUGUCCUGCUUGAACAUGCUUUCUACAUAAGUGCAAUCCACUUGAUUCAAAUGUCAUCAGAUUUUAUUAUAAUGGAAAAUUUAUAAAUUUGCUGAAGACAGCAUUCCAUCUCAUUGGUGAAUGGUCUCUGUACAUUAUGCUUUUUAACACUUUACAGUUCAGUCGAACACCGUAAUUGAAAAACGUUUGUCCACUUCAUGGAAAAAAGCCUUAACUAUAAGGAUCUGAACAGUAGACCAAGUCAGAAUGCUUUGUGAUUGCAUUUCUCUCUUUUCACAAAGCAACUAAAAGACAGCAAGUGCCAGGAAAAUAAUUAAAACAUUUUCUCACAUGAUGGCCGUUUUAAUUGAACACAACUAUUACAUAUUUCUUCAGAUGGCACAUGCAGCUUUAGUAAAUUAGAUAUUUUAACUUUUUGUCUGAUAUCUUUUAUGAACUCAUUGUUUUAUGUGGUGGUAUGCAAAGUUAAUUGGAGGUUUAUGUGGUUUCUUUUUUUAAAACUUUCUCUCGUUUUGAGGGAAUGGUUUUGGCAUGUUAUGUGUCUACUGAGUUCGGUUCUGUUGAGAAAGAAGUUUAUAAAGGUUGUUCUGAGGGAUGUUUGCUAAAGUUUUUAGUUAACACAGAGAAGUGUAAAAAAAAUGCUGCAGUUUAUGUCAAUGAAUUGUAGGAGGAUGAGGAACAGACCAGAAAUUUAGAAAAAAAUGGAUUACUUAAAUAUUAAAAUGGCAGACUGAUGGAAAAUGACCAACAUGAUUUGUAGGCUUCCAAAAUUGUUUGGGAACCACUCCUCAGAUAUUAUGUUUUAGCACUUUUUAGCCUGGUUGUGUUUGAGAAAAAUGGAAAUUAGGGGAGAAAAAACUUUUAUCAUAAAAAAAUUCUCCAGUGGAAUAUUAUUGGCAUAACAUACUGCUGGUCUGGCAUGGUGGAGCUGGCUAGCUGUGAAACACUUGUCAUCUGUAACAUACUCAUACAUCUUGUCGAUUGUAACAUUCUCAUACAGUUUUGGUUUAUUUGCUGGCAACAGCAAAGAUGUUGCUUUGACUCAUGUCUUUGGUUAAAUGUGAGGUAUUCAUCCUAUUUUGUCUUCUGAUUAGCCUUGCAAACUUUAUAACAGAGAAAUUGAAGAAAGUGUAAAACUGGUUCAAUUGUGGCCAAUAUUUAAAUAUACAUUUGAAAAACUAGUCAGUGUUUUGCGCAGCAUAUCUAGCUCAUUGUGCACCAACAUUCACAAGAAAGUUUGUGGCAUGUUGAUGAGCUGAAAAUGCAGUUGGCAUUGUUUACAAAACAAAAUUUUCUGUAUUUUUUUUUUCCAAUCAAUGGGGCUUAUUAAUAAAAAUAUAUAUGCAUUGCAUGAGAAUUGUGAUAAUCUUGAAGUUAAUGUUAAAGAUGAAUUUUGUUUA
Molecule: long non-coding RNA, 5417 nt
Organism: Pomacea canaliculata
Lineage: Eukaryota; Metazoa; Mollusca; Gastropoda; Architaenioglossa; Ampullariidae
Exons: 4
Source: RefSeq, a predicted model, not a curated record